GACUAACCGCGCAAACGUUGUUCGGAAUCACUGGGCUUAAAGGGCGCGUAGGCGGCUUGCAUAGUCGGUGGUGAAAUCCUGCAGCUUAACUGUAGAAGUGCCUCCGAUACUAGCAAGCUCGAGGGAGGUAGGGGUCUGUGGAACUUCUGGUGGAGCGGUGAAAUGCGUUGAUAUCAGAAGGAACGCCGGUGGCGAAAGCGACGGACUGGACCUCUUCUGACGCUGAGGCGCGAAAGCUAGGGGAGCAAACGGG
This 253-nucleotide ribosomal RNA is filed under the name uncultured bacterium. Its description in RNAcentral is "partial 16S ribosomal RNA". It matches the Rfam family "Bacterial small subunit ribosomal RNA", at positions 524 to 776 of the family's 1533-position model. The record is from RNAcentral.